This 467-nucleotide ribosomal RNA is filed under the name uncultured bacterium. RNAcentral's name for it is "partial 16S ribosomal RNA". It matches the Rfam family "Bacterial small subunit ribosomal RNA", at positions 29 to 507 of the family's 1533-position model. The record is from RNAcentral.
ACGAGCGCUGGCGGCGUGCUUCACACAUGCCAGUCGCACGGAAAGGCCCUGCUUUUGUGGGGUGCUCGAGUGGCGAACGGGUGAGUAACACGUGAGUAACCUGCCCUUGACUUUGGGAUAACUUCAGGAAACUGGGGCUAAUACCGGAUAGGAGCUCCUGCUGCAUGGUGGGGGUUGGAAAGUUUCGGCGGUUGGGGAUGGACUCGCGGCUUAUCAGCUUGUUGGUGGGGUAGUGGCUUACCAAGGCUUUGACGGGUAGCCGGCCUGAGAGGGUGACCGGCCACAUUGGGACUGAGAUACGGCCCAGACUCCUACGGGAGGCAGCAGUGGGGAAUAUUGCACAAUGGGCGGAAGCCUGAUGCAGCAACGCCGCGUGCGGGAUGACGGCCUUCGGGUUGUAAACCGCUUUCGCCUGUGACGAAGCGUGAGUGACGGUAAUGGGUAAAGAAGCACCGGCUAACUACGUG